This 235-nucleotide ribosomal RNA is filed under the name Escherichia coli. RNAcentral's name for it is "partial 23S ribosomal RNA". It matches the Rfam family "Bacterial large subunit ribosomal RNA", at positions 1273 to 1512 of the family's 2925-position model. Lineage: Bacteria; Pseudomonadati; Pseudomonadota; Gammaproteobacteria; Enterobacterales; Enterobacteriaceae. The record is from RNAcentral.
CUGGAGGUAUCAGAAGUGCGAAUGCUGACAUAAGUAACGAUAAAGCGGGUGAAAAGCCCGCUCGCCGGAAGACCAAGGGUUCCUGUCCAACGUUAAUCGGGGCAGGGUGAGUCGACCCCUAAGGCGAGGCCGAAAGGCGUAGUCGAUGGGAAACAGGUUAAUAUUCCUGUACUUGGUGUUACUGCGAAGGGGGGACGGAGAAGGCUAUGUUGGCCGGGCGACGGUUGUCCCGGUU